GAGAUCUUUUUUUUUUUUUUUUUUUUUUUGUCUUUUGUCUUUAUAGGCCCCCUGGGAACCUCCAUAUGCUGCAGGUGUGGCCCUAAAAAGGACAAAAGACAAAAAAAAAAAAAAUUUAAAGGACAAAUACAACAUAACUGAAAAUGAUUACCCUAAUUUUAGAAAGACAAAACUAAAAUCAAUGAUGACGAUGGGUAUGUAUAGGAGACCAUGGUUUAAGGAAGCUUUUGCAACUGAGCAGCAACAAAUAUUAACUGAGAAUCCUCUAACUAUGGCCAAAGUGAGACAUGCGAUAUAGGCACAAUCUUAAUUUAAUUUUUUAAAAACAGUUCAGAUUAGGUCCAAAUAGAUUUAAGAAAAAUUUCAGAGCUGCAUUCACGUACAGUGUAAACCCAACUCAUUCUUCUUAAGUAACCGAACCUUACAGAAUUGGUAGGAAAUGUCCUAUUACCCAUAGCUGUUUUAAUAACCUACUCUUGUUUGUAGAUUUUUUUUUUUUAAAGUGGCUAUAAUCAAUAGACCCUACCAUUCAUCCAGGGGGAAACUAGUAGAAAUUAGCUAAGGAAAUCAGAAACACUAGCUUACAGGUGGGGUGUUGUUAUGUAACACAGUGGUGACAGCACUGAAAGUAGAAUCUGACUGCUUGGACCAAAUCUCUCUCCUACAUUACAAGCUGAAUGACUUGGAAAACUACUUAAUCCCUCUGUGUCUCAAUUUCCCAUCUGUAAGAUGAAGAUAAUAACUGUAACACUUUGAUGGGUUCUUGUGAAGAAAAACUGGUGCUUGUAACGUAGACUGCCUGACACUCAGUGCAUAUACAAUAUGAGCAGUAUUGGAUGUCAGUCAGCAACAUGGAGUGGCUGGCUGUGAUUUUGGAGAAAUCUCCUAAUUUCUUCUCUUCAUUUCCCUCCUGAAAAUUUGAUACAGAACAGGCUUGUCAAUUGGUCUGUAUUGCACUGAUGAUCAUCACAUAGAAUAAAACCUUAUAACAUUUUAAUAUAAAAUAUAAGAACUUAACUCUAGUUUUCAUUCUCAUAUUUUCCUAAAAAUGCUAUUCAGUAAAUUUGUGUGUUGCAAUGCAGUUUUUAGAGAGUAUAGUUCCAUAUGCUUUUUGCUGUUGUAUGGUUUUGUUUCUUUUUUUUUUUUUAAUAUUUGGUAACUCUCUGGGGUAAUUGUCUAAAGAGUUUUUUCAACUUUAGGGGAAUAAAAGAAUGAGAAUAUACGCUAAUGGAAAUCAUUUGGAGAAACCUGAGUAAAUCUAGUAAUUGCGUGCCAUCUGUGGUAAGGAAAUUAAAUAGUGCACUCAACGUGAUUCAAUAAUUAAAUAUGUAUUUAUUAAAUCAUUUGUAAUAGCUUUAGUAUAUGACCUCAGGUCUCAAAGGCAACCACACAGUGAUUACCCUUGAAGCUUCAUGGAAAAGUGAAUUACAGAAUCAACUUUCUGUUCUUUUACUGCCUGGAUAUGCUUUACCUUGAAACUUCAUUGUAAAAGAAACUUCCCUGUUCCUCACAACUCUUGCACACAACUUCAUCACCACAGCGUGACAUGGGGUGGGGUUGUGGAGGGGAUGCUGAAUGUCAUGAAAAGUUGAUAGUAAACAGAAACAGUCAAAAAUCACCUGUGGGAGAUGGCAGAUGAGCAGAGAUACGGAGACAGAAGGCAGGCACUCUGCAUGGCAGCUGGACAGGAGAGAAGGUGCAUUAGUCAAAUGAAUUACAAAAAAAAUGAAAUUAAAUUCCAGAGAGCUUCUUCACAUUAUUAAGUUUUUUCAGACUUCGAGAUAGAUUCUUAGUUGCCUCUCUCCCUUCUUGCCACGGUGUUACUUAGGGCAAAAAAUUUAAAUCUUAGCGUUUGGAGAACAAUGUAGAUCUUAAGUGAUCAACUUAGGAAAUGACAUGUUUCAUAAAACAUAGACUGAUUUUAACGUGGUAAACUUGAAUGACUUACUUUUAAAAGUCCAUUCUCACAGAUCGUGUCCAAAUAUUUGUUUUAUAAAUCCACAAGUUAAUGCUCAGGAUGUGUUUUCUUACUUCGUAAGCUAGAUUUCCUGGACAAUAUGAUGAAAAAAAAAAAAAA
RNAcentral lists this long non-coding RNA (2077 nucleotides) under Sus scrofa (pig). Its description in RNAcentral is "lncRNA (ENSSSCG00050036598.1)". Lineage: Eukaryota; Metazoa; Chordata; Mammalia; Artiodactyla; Suidae. The record is from RNAcentral.